CCUGCAUCCCUUACUCACAUGAGUAGUCGUAUCUAUUUCAGUGGGACUACUCGGUGAGUAAGGAUAGCAGG
Molecule: microRNA precursor, 71 nt
Organism: Coturnix japonica (Japanese quail)
Lineage: Eukaryota; Metazoa; Chordata; Aves; Galliformes; Phasianidae
Source: Ensembl